GAAUAUUGGACAAUGGGGGGAACCCUGAUCCAGCCAUGCCGCGUGUGUGAAGAAGGCCUUUUGGUUGUAAAGCACUUUAAGCGAGGAGGAGGAGCUUUUGGUUAAUACCCAAGAUGCUUGGAUGUUUCUCGACGAAUAAGCUCCGGCUAACCCGGGUCCCGCAGCCGCGGCAAUACAGAGGGUGCAAGCGUUAAUCGGAUUUACUGGGCGUAAAGCGUGCGUAAGUGGGCAAAUAAGUCAAAUGUGAAAUCCCCGAGCUUAACUUGGGAAUUGCAUUCGAUACUGGUUGGCUAGAGUAUGGGAGAGGAUGGUAGAAUUCCAGGUGUAGCGGUGAAAUGCGUAGAGAUCUGGAGGAAUACCGAUGGCGAAGGCAGCCAUCUGGCCUAAUACUGACACUGAGGUGCGAAAGCAUGGGGAGCAAACA
RNAcentral lists this ribosomal RNA (424 nucleotides) under uncultured bacterium. RNAcentral describes it as "partial 16S ribosomal RNA". It matches the Rfam family "Bacterial small subunit ribosomal RNA", at positions 359 to 774 of the family's 1533-position model. The record is from RNAcentral.